This 497-nucleotide ribosomal RNA is filed under the name uncultured bacterium. RNAcentral describes it as "partial 16S ribosomal RNA". It matches the Rfam family "Bacterial small subunit ribosomal RNA", at positions 28 to 507 of the family's 1533-position model. The record is from RNAcentral.
GAUGAACGCUGGCGGCGUGCCUAACACAUGCAAGUCGAGCGAACAGACGAGGAGCUUGCGCCUUGCACGUUAGCGGCACAGGGGUGAGUAACGUGUAUGUCACGCACCUAUCUGACUGGGAUCAUUUCGGGAAUCGGGAGCAAAUCGCGGAUAAUAUCCCGAACCGUAGUGUUCGAUAGAGAAUGAUGGCUUUGCUGGCUGUAAUAGCUGCAUAUGAGCCGUUUUAGAUAGUUGGUAAGGUCACAGCUUACCAAGGCGACGAUACGUAGCCGAGCUGAGAGGGGGAUCGGCCACACUGGAGCUGGAACACGGUCCUGACUCCUAAGGGAGGCAGCAGUAGGGAAUCUGCGGCAAUGGGCGAAAGCCUGACAGAGCAGCGCCGCGUGAGUGAUGAAGGCCUUCGGAUCGUAAAGCUCUGUUAUUGGGGAAAAACAGCUGUGUAAGUAACCGUGCAGGUCUUGACGGUACCUAAUCAAAAAGCAACGGCUAACUACGUG